Long non-coding RNA from Salvia splendens (bonfire salvia), 449 nucleotides. RefSeq lists it as uncharacterized. NCBI's taxonomy places the organism in Eukaryota, Viridiplantae, Streptophyta, Magnoliopsida, Lamiales, Lamiaceae. The transcript is spliced from 3 exons. The record is from RefSeq and is a predicted model, not a curated record.
CCCACUUCUCAAAUCACACGCCCCCUCCCACUUUUCAUCUCCUCCCACACUUGUUCAUCCAUUCUACUCAAGAUCCCAUCAAUUCCCCAAGAGAUUAUUGAAGAACCAAGGUUUUGUUCGCUUUCUACCGAUUGUUUCGUCCAAGAGAGGUGAUAAUUCGUGCGCUAAACGUGAUAUCAAAGGAAAAGCGAUACUUGAAAUCUAAACGGUCGAGGUUGAGCAGCGACGAGCGGUUGGUGGUGUUGAGCAGAAAUAAUAAUAUGGUUAUUUUGAAACUUCGAGUGUCGUUGUGUCUUCACACAUGACUUCACUCUUCUCUUGGAUGCUUCCGCUGUGAUAUUAUCUUUACUUAUAUUUUUAUUUAACUAUGAAACUGUUUGAUUGAAUGUUGAAAUCUCGUACCCUUUUUUUAUAAAUGUCAAACCUUUGGUCUUUGCUUUUAUUUUAAA